GGCCUCCCAGUACGGUUUGGAGUCUUCCACGGCUUUACCGAUCUUCUUGACCUGCUCGUCCAGCUUGACCGUGGCCUCCACUAGGACGGCGCGAAACUUCUGCCGGGAGUCCUGAAGAACAGAGACCUCUUUGGAUUUCUCUCCCGAUUCAAGCUUUGAACCUCGGUGAUGUUUGUUUCUCACAAACGUGCAGCUUUUCCCUUCGCUAGACGUCAGCCGAUGGACUGGAGUGGUGUGGGUCGCUCGUUGAUUGCUGCGACUCUCACCCUGACGGCACCCAUGCGCCGCAGAACAUCCGUUUGAGAGCGACCGACCUACAUCUCGAAGGAAGGUUUAUCAGUUUCCAGCUGAGCACACUGACCCGUUUUAGU
Molecule: long non-coding RNA, 371 nt
Organism: Puntigrus tetrazona (Sumatra barb)
Lineage: Eukaryota; Metazoa; Chordata; Actinopteri; Cypriniformes; Cyprinidae
Exons: 3
Source: RefSeq, a predicted model, not a curated record